This 287-nucleotide long non-coding RNA is filed under the name Nicotiana benthamiana. Its description in RNAcentral is "long non-coding RNA (NBEN_LNC020847)". The record is from RNAcentral. Lineage: Eukaryota; Viridiplantae; Streptophyta; Magnoliopsida; Solanales; Solanaceae.
UGGUGUUGAAAAUGUAAAUGUUGUUACUGAAGACAUUGGUGGUAAAAGAAAAUAAAAAUAAAAGAGAGCUUAUGUGUUGAGGUUGAUGCGAGGGGAAUGAUGAAAGAACAAUUGGCUGGAUUUUAUUCGCCCAUUAGUUGUGGAUUACACGAAGAGACAGGUGCAAUGGUGGUCUGGAGUGAAGAGAUUAGUGAUAAUGAGAAGAAUAUGAAUGGAAGUCUGAGGAUAGAAUCACAGGAGAUAGAUGAUUGUUCUGGGGAUAGAAGUACAGUAGAUGGGAUAGUUAG